This 253-nucleotide ribosomal RNA is filed under the name uncultured bacterium. Its description in RNAcentral is "partial 16S ribosomal RNA". It matches the Rfam family "Bacterial small subunit ribosomal RNA", at positions 524 to 776 of the family's 1533-position model. The record is from RNAcentral.
UACGUAGGUGGCAAGCGUUGUCCGGAUUUAUUGGGGUUAAAGGGUGCGUAGGCGGUCUAUUAAGUCAGCGGUGAAAUACUCCAGCUUAACUGGAGGGGUGCCAUUGAUACUGAUGGACUUGAGUCAAGUCGAGGUAGGCGGAAUUGACGGUGUAGCGGUGAAAUGCUUAGAUAUCGUCAAGAACACCAAUAGUGAAGACAGCUUACUGGGCUUAAACUGACGCUGAGGCACGAAAGUGUGGGGAUCAAACAGG